GAUGAACGCUGGCGGCGUGCCUAAUACAUGCAAGUCGAGCGAACAGACGAGGAUCUUGCUCCUCUGACGUUAGCGGCGGACGGGUGAGUAACACGUGUAUAACCUACCUAUAAGACUGGGAUAACUUCGGGAAACCGGAGCUAAUACCGGAUAAUAUAUUGAACCGCAUGGUUCAAUGGUGAAAGACGGUUUUGCUGUCACUUAUAGAUGGAUCCGCGCCGCAUUAGCUAGUUGGUAAGGUAACGGCUUACCAAGGCAACGAUGCGUAGCCGACCUGAGAGGGUGAUCGGCCACACUGGAACUGAGACACGGUCCAGACUCCUACGGGAGGCAGCAGUAGGGAAUCUUACGCAAUGGGCGAAAGCCUGACGGAGCAACGCCGCGUGAGUGAUGAAGGUCUUCGGAUCGUAAAACUCUGUUAUUAGGGAAGAACAAAUGUGUAAGUAACUAUGCACGUCUUGACGGUACCUAAUAAGAAAGCCACGGCUAACUACGUG
RNAcentral lists this ribosomal RNA (497 nucleotides) under uncultured bacterium. RNAcentral's name for it is "partial 16S ribosomal RNA". It matches the Rfam family "Bacterial small subunit ribosomal RNA", at positions 28 to 507 of the family's 1533-position model. The record is from RNAcentral.